UAAACACAGGGACACAUUUGAAGUCUCGGAGCCGGGUGUUGGUUCCGGUAGUGAUCGAGGGAAAUUAGUACCGAAGUCCGGGAUGGGAGAUGGCGAGAAAAGCUGUGUGUAUUUCUGCGGUGCCCGUACCGCAAACCGACACAGGUAGGUAGGAAGAAGAUUCUAAGGCCAACGGGAGAAGGGUUGUUAAGGAACUCGGCAAAUUGACCCCGUAACUUCGGGAGAAGGGGUGCUCUAGAGAUAGAGCCGCAGAGAAUCGGCCCAAGCAACUGUUUACCAAAAACACAGGUUUGUGCUAAAUCGAAAGAUGACGUAUACGAGCUGACGCCUGCCCGGUGCUGGAAGGUUAAGAGGAGAUGUGCAAGCAUUGAAUCGAAGCCCCAGUGAACGGCGGCGUAACAAUAACGGUCCUAAGGUAGCGAAAUUCCUUGUCAGGUAAGUCCUGACCCGCAUGAAAGGCGUAAUGAUUUGGGCACUGUCUCGACAGCCCGCCCGGCGAAAUUGUAGUACCGGUGAAGAUGCCGGUUACCCGCGACAAGACGGAAAGACCCCAUGGAGCUUUACUGUAGCCUAAUAUUGGGUUUCGAUGUUGCAUGCACAGGAUAGAUGGGACACUGGGAAGCAAGUGCUUUGGCAUUUGUGGAGUGGCCGUUGGGAUACCAUCCUUGCGAUAUUGGAACUCUAACCUGCGCCUUUGAAUCAAGGCGGGGGACAUUGUUAGGUGGGCAGUUUGACUGGGGCGGUCGCCUCCUAAAGAGUAACGGAGGCGUUCAAAGGUUCGCUCAGCUUGAACGGAAAUCAAGCAAAAGAGUGCAAACGCAGAAGCGAGCCUAACUGCGAGACUGACGGGUCGAGCAGUAACGAAAGUUGGAGUUAGUGAUCCGGUGGUAUGUGAGUGGAAAUGCCAUCGCUCAACGGAUAAAAGUUACCCUGGGGAUAACAGGCUGAUCUCCCCCAAGAGUCCACAUCGACGGGGAGGUUUGGCACCUCGAUGUCGGCUCAUCGCAUCCUGGGGCUGUAUUCGGUCCCAAGGGUUUGGCUGUUCGCCAAUUAAAGCGGUACGCGAGCUGGGUUCAGAACGUCGUGAGACAGUUCGGUCCCUAUCUGUCGUGGGCGCAGGAUAUUUGAUGGGAGCUGUUCCUAGUACGAGAGGACCGGAGCGGACGUACCUCUGGCGCACCAGUUGUUCUGCCAAGGGCAUAGCUGGGCAACUAUGUACGGAUCGGAUAAACGCUAAAAGCAUCUAAGCGUGAAGCCGACCCAAAGAUAAGAUAUCCCAUUGUUUCAAACAAGUAAGACCCCUUGAAGACUACAAGGUUGAUAGGCAUGACGUGUAAGUGGAGUGAUCCAUUCAGCAAGCAUGUACUAAUAGGUCGAGGGCUUGACCG
Molecule: ribosomal RNA, 1388 nt
Filed under: metagenome
Description: bacterial LSU rRNA
Rfam family: Bacterial large subunit ribosomal RNA
Source: RNAcentral